CCCAAUCUUUAUAUGAAACAUCUUCUUUACCCACAAGUCCCAGGAAACUUUCCAUAUCAUUUUCUACAUUCUUCACUUUCCCCACCAUUUUCUCUGAUUUUUCUGGUAUGCUAGGCUUCUUGGUAAGAAAUUUUGGCUUUCCUCUUAAUUUAACUGUGGGCUCUAGAGUAUAGCGAUGAUCAUCAAGAGCCUUGAACAUGGGUCCACUAGCAGAUUGGGGCAGCACAACUGUUGGAUUGAUGGGCAAUGUGGAAGCCUCAGUAGAAGGUUGAGCAAUAAAAGCACAGACGGUAUGUGGUGCUAUGAAUGUGGUAGGCUUAUACUGAGGAGCUAAAGAAUGAGAGGCGGAAGCAUUCGGGUGUAUUUGACAUGAAAUGGAUUCUACGGCAUGCUAUGAUGUAUCAACAACAG
RNAcentral lists this long non-coding RNA (411 nucleotides) under Capsicum annuum. RNAcentral's name for it is "long non-coding RNA (CANN_LNC022486)". The record is from RNAcentral. Lineage: Eukaryota; Viridiplantae; Streptophyta; Magnoliopsida; Solanales; Solanaceae.